CGCGCCUGUUGCCUGAGAUACCCCCGCCCCCGCCCUCACUGCCCGGAGUCCUUCUGCGUCCAAGAUGGCGUCCGAGCUUUAUUUUUAGAGCACCAGGAACAAAGCGCGUUGCGUAGCAUUGAGUUUAGCAGAAAGCAAGAGUUGUGUGGCUGGCUUUAAUGUCUGCUGUGUUUGGUUGGCUGUUCACACAAUACCCAGACUCCCAGAGCUGCCACAGGUGUCCUAAGUUCACACAGCCACCCUUCAUCCUGCCUCAAGUGGAGCUUUGUCCCGUGUCUGAGCAUGGUGUCUGCUGUGUGGAAAUAAGAACUGUCUCACAAAACUGAGCCUCAAAAGAGAGUUGAAGUUGCCUGAGUCGUCCAUUCCUGAAGAGAGGAGGCAGAGCCAACCUCUUGUUCCCGCAGAACUGAUUUGAUAUCGAUUUGAAUAAAGGCAUCUGCUGCCAUUUUAUUAAGCGCCCUAUUUAAUCUCCAUGUCCCUGCUUCCACUUUCUCUUAAUAUCAACUGUCCUUGUCCCCUUUCAAAGUCAGAGUGACUCGGAAUCGCUUCAGGACUCUAUUCAGUGUGGCCUCUCAGAUGUGAGUUAGAACCUGAACCUACACCAGAAUUUCCUCCUUUUCUUUCUGCAGUUAUUUUUUUCUCCACAAUUUUCUUUUUGAGUAUUUUAAAUACUUAAAAAUGUACGUCAAUCAAAAGAAACUACCGAAAAAAACCCCACAAAACUACCAAGUGUCGCAAAUGUUUUGUGUACAAUACCCUUGCAGAAUGUGAGCAAAAUGUCUUUAGAGUGCGGCUUUCAGCUUUCAAACUGAGACAUGCUCAAAUGAGAGGGGGAAAAAUCCCCACGGCCCAGAGAUGCGGACCAACCCAUCUCCGGAGCGGAAGGAAGGGUGGGGCACAGUGGCGCGCCGGCCUUAGAGACGGGAUGUGAAUGAGCACUUCGAUGCACACCUCACUUUAGCUACGGGAAAAUUACCAGGCAG
RNAcentral lists this long non-coding RNA (983 nucleotides) under Heterocephalus glaber (naked mole-rat). RNAcentral's name for it is "lncRNA (ENSHGLG00000035682.1)". Lineage: Eukaryota; Metazoa; Chordata; Mammalia; Rodentia; Bathyergidae. The record is from RNAcentral.